AGGACGAACGCUGGCGGCGUGCUUAACACAUGCAAGUCGAACGGAAAGGCCCUUUCGGGGGUACUCGAGUGGCGAACGGGUGAGUAACACGUGGGUGAUCUGCCCUGCACUUCGGGAUAAGCCUGGGAAACUGGGUCUAAUACCGGAUAGGACUACGGGAUGCAUGUUCUGUGGUGGAAAGCUUUUGCGGUGUGGGAUGGGCCCGCGGCCUAUCAGCUUGUUGGUGGGGUGAUGGCCUACCAAGGCGACGACGGGUAGCCGGCCUGAGAGGGUGUCCGGCCACACUGGGACUGAGAUACGGCCCAGACUCCUACGGGAGGCAGCAGUGGGGAAUAUUGCACAAUGGGCGCAAGCCUGAUGCAGCGACGCCGCGUGGGGGAUGGAAGGCCUUCGGGUUGUAAACCUCUUUCAGUAUUGGCGAAGCUUGUCGGGUUUUCGUCGCGAGGUGACGGUAGGUACGAGAAGAAGCACCGGCCAACUACGUGCCAGCAGCCGCGGU
RNAcentral lists this ribosomal RNA (499 nucleotides) under uncultured bacterium. RNAcentral's name for it is "SSU rRNA". It matches the Rfam family "Bacterial small subunit ribosomal RNA", at positions 26 to 521 of the family's 1533-position model. The record is from RNAcentral.